This 689-nucleotide ribosomal RNA is filed under the name uncultured Serratia sp. RNAcentral describes it as "bacterial SSU rRNA". It matches the Rfam family "Bacterial small subunit ribosomal RNA", at positions 791 to 1480 of the family's 1533-position model. The record is from RNAcentral. Lineage: Bacteria; Pseudomonadati; Pseudomonadota; Gammaproteobacteria; Enterobacterales; Yersiniaceae.
UAGUCCACGCCGUAAACGAUGUCGACUUGGAGGUUGUUCCCUUGAGGAGUGGCUUCCGGAGCUAACGCGUUAAGUCGACCGCCUGGGGAGUACGGCCGCAAGGUUAAAACUCAAAUGAAUUGACGGGGGCCCGCACAAGCGGUGGAGCAUGUGGUUUAAUUCGAUGCAACGCGAAGAACCUUACCUACUCUUGACAUCCAGAGAACUUAGCAGAGAUGCUUUGGUGCCUUCGGGAACUCUGAGACAGGUGCUGCAUGGCUGUCGUCAGCUCGUGUUGUGAAAUGUUGGGUUAAGUCCCGCAACGAGCGCAACCCUUAUCCUUUGUUGCCAGCGGUUAGGCCGGGAACUCAAAGGAGACUGCCAGUGAUAAACUGGAGGAAGGUGGGGAUGACGUCAAGUCAUCAUGGCCCUUACGAGUAGGGCUACACACGUGCUACAAUGGCGCAUACAAAGAGAAGCGACCUCGCGAGAGCAAGCGGACCUCAUAAAGUGCGUCGUAGUCCGGAUUGGAGUCUGCAACUCGACUCCAUGAAGUCGGAAUCGCUAGUAAUCGUAGAUCAGAAUGCUACGGUGAAUACGUUCCCGGGCCUUGUACACACCGCCCGUCACACCAUGGGAGUGGGUUGCAAAAGAAGUAGGUAGCUUAACCUUCGGGAGGGCGCUUACCACUUUGUGAUUCAUGACUGGGG